RNAcentral lists this ribosomal RNA (446 nucleotides) under uncultured bacterium. RNAcentral's name for it is "partial 16S ribosomal RNA". It matches the Rfam family "Bacterial small subunit ribosomal RNA", at positions 338 to 795 of the family's 1533-position model. The record is from RNAcentral.
CCUACGGGUGGCAGCAGUCGAGAAUCAUUCACAAUGGGGGAAACCCUGAUGGUGCGACGCCGCGUGGGGGAAUGAAGGUCUUCUGAUUGUAAACCCCUGUCAUGUGGGAGCAAAUUAAAAAGAUAGUACCACAAGAGGAAGAGAUGGCUAACUAUGUGCCAGCAGCCGCGGUAAUCAAGAGGUUUCAAGAGUUGUUCGUAAGCACUGGUCGUAAGGCGUGCGGAGGCUGUUUCGUAAGUCGUGUGUGAAAGGCGCGGGCUCAACCCGCGGACGGCACAUGAUACUGCGAGACUAGAGUACUGGAGGGGGAACCGGAAUUCUCGGUGUAGCAGUGAAAUGCGUAGAGAUCGAGAGGAACACUCGUGGCGAAGGCGGGUUCCUGGACAUUAACUGACGCUGAGGCACGAAGGCCAGGGGAGCGAAAGGGAUUAGAUACCCGAGUAGUC